RNAcentral lists this ribosomal RNA (219 nucleotides) under Triticum aestivum (bread wheat). Its description in RNAcentral is "partial small subunit ribosomal RNA". Lineage: Eukaryota; Viridiplantae; Streptophyta; Magnoliopsida; Poales; Poaceae. The record is from RNAcentral.
GGUCCCAACACAGGAGAGCAAGCUCCGUCCACACCCCAAUCCGCAGCAGGCGACAUGAACACUGGAGGCGGCAUUUCAACGGCAUCGGCAUCCAUAGCAGGCGUGUCAACCAACAAGAACAUGAGCUGCACCGUCCUGACAGGCACCUUCACCGGCCAGAGCGCUCUCGGCUGGUACCUCCUGUCGAAGCCCAAGAAGACUAAGGAGGUCAUUGACUGA